GCUCAAAGCUUUAUGCAUUCACUACUCAUUGUUGUUGUUGUUGCUGUUGCUUGUUAUUGUUAACCAUUACAGUUGCUGUUGUAAUUGCUGUUGCAACCACUCUACCGUAGUCCACUCUACGCCUGUUAGCGCUGUUGUUGUGCUGCUGCUUGCCACAGCUGCCGUUUGCUGCUGUCUUUAUAAAUCGUAAAUUGUAAACAUCAUCGCUUGUUGUUGCUUUAAUUAACCAUUUAUAAUUUACAAGACCAAAUGCCAAAUGUAUGUAUGCUGGCUUGCUAUAAAUAUUCAAUAGGCCUCAAAGGCAGCGACCGAUUGUAGCGUGGCAUUGUUUACGAUUUCACAUUUUUCUAUUUAAAAUUUCCUUUCGAUUUUGUUUUUUAUGUUGCUUAGUUGCUUUUGCUUUCGUUUCAUUAUUGACAUUGUAAUUUUGACAGCUAACUUGAUUGGUUAUUUUGUAAAUAAAUCAAAUCGCACGUGACUCAAUUUAUGCAAUUUGUAAUCGGUUUUUGGGAUUAUUUGAAUUAUACAUAUAUAGAUUGGAUUGUGGAAGAGGCGUUAGUUGUGGUUCUUAAAUGUUGGAAGUUAAGUAUAUACAAUCUCCAAAUGUGCAAUGGACGCCCGUUAUUGAAACCUACAAGAAGCAGCGCUAUCCCUGGGUCCAACUGGACGAUCGUCAAGGCAAUUUCAAGGCUGAUGCUGAAUAGACGACCUUUCGUGGGCUCAUACCGGAAUAUAAAGGGCAGCUGACCAGUGAGGAUGAAGAAUUAACUGCAACAUUUGCUGAGCGAUUUCAAUCAGGAUAAAAUGAUAGCGGUUGAUCGGGAUGCAGCCAGUGAACGGAAGCACAAAACGAAGGGUGUGUGCUAUAUAUGGUCUGACGUCAGAUAAUCUUCAACACCGCCACACUAGGGUUUCGCACUGAGGACAUUAAGACACAGUUCGCUGCUGUGUGACUCAUGGCUGAGAUCUCCGACUUGCGCAAGAACCAACAAAUCGGCAACAGUAGCAACUGGAUGCUGGGCAGCAACAAGUGCUGCUAUUUGAAUGGCAUUAAUUAUUUAAUUGAGAAUUUUACCGAACUCAAUGAGGAAAUGUCCGGUGAAACUUCGCUAACUCCAUUAUCUUUACUGGUUUCGUUGCCGCCGAAACGUAAUUUAGGCGAAUCGAAAAUCUACUACUCGUCGUCAAGCUUAGCAUGUUGAGAUCAGGAACUGUGAGUUUGGAAGUAAUCAAGACAUUCAGCCGAUGCUCGUUCUCAACAAAGCCGUCCCAAACGCCGAGCAAACGUUUAGCGGCCUUUGCACCGAUACAAAGCAAUGCAGGUUAACGAGAGCAGGGAUGACACCCAGGAGCCGCCUCGAGUCAGCGUACAUGAUGCAUGCCAUUCGGACCGCACGCCAGACUAUAGUUUUUUGUUAGGAAAUAUUAUAAUUGUAAAACUUUUUAAUGAUGCAAUACUUUCAAUAAAAUAUUUGUUAAAAUAAUCUCACAGUGCUUAAAUAAUAAGAAA
This is a long non-coding RNA of Zeugodacus cucurbitae (melon fly), 1510 nucleotides long. RefSeq lists it as uncharacterized. Lineage: Eukaryota; Metazoa; Arthropoda; Insecta; Diptera; Tephritidae. The transcript is spliced from 4 exons. The record is from RefSeq and is a predicted model, not a curated record.